RNAcentral lists this ribosomal RNA (300 nucleotides) under uncultured bacterium. Its description in RNAcentral is "bacterial SSU rRNA". It matches the Rfam family "Bacterial small subunit ribosomal RNA", at positions 498 to 793 of the family's 1533-position model. The record is from RNAcentral.
UAACUACGUGCCAGCAGCCGCGGUAAUACGUAGGUGGCAAGCGUUAUCCGGAUUUAUUGGGCGUAAAGCGAGCGCAGGCGGUCGUUUUAAGUCUAAUGUGAAAGACCUUCGGCUCAACCCGAAGAAAGUGCAUUGGAAACUGGGAGACUUGAGUGCAGAAGAGGACAGUGGAACUCCAUGUGUAGCGGUGAAAUGCGUAGAUAUAUGGAAGAACACCAGUGGCGAAGGCGGCUGUCUGGUCUGUAACUGACGCUGAGGCUCGAAAGCAUGGGUAGCGAACAGGAUUAGAUACCCUGGUAG